RNAcentral lists this ribosomal RNA (497 nucleotides) under uncultured bacterium. RNAcentral's name for it is "partial 16S ribosomal RNA". It matches the Rfam family "Bacterial small subunit ribosomal RNA", at positions 28 to 507 of the family's 1533-position model. The record is from RNAcentral.
GAUGAACGCUGGCGGCGUGCCUAAUACAUGCAAGUCGAGCGAACAGACGAGGAGCUUGCUCCUCUGACGUUAGCGGCGGACGGGUGAGUAACACGUGGAUAACCUACCUAUAAGACUGGGAUAACUUCGGGAAACCGGAGCUAAUACCGGAUAAUAUAUUAAACCGCAUGGUUCAAUAGUGAAAGACGGUUUUGCUGUCACUUAUAGAUGGAUCCGCGCCGCAUUAGCUAGUUGGUAAGGUAACGGCUUACCAAGGCAACGAUGCGUAGCCGACCUGAGAGGGUGAUCGGCCACACUGGAACUGAGACGCGGUCCAGACUCCUACGGGAGGCAGCAGUAGGGAAUCUUCCGCAAUGGGCGAAAGCCUGACGGAGCAACGCCGCGUGAGUGAUGAAGGUCUUCGGAUCGUAAAACUCUGUUAUUAGGGAAGAACAAAUGUGUAAGUAACUAUGCACGUCUUGACGGUACCUAAUCAAAAAGCCACGGCUAACUACGUG